UGGGGAAUAUUGCACAAUGGGCGCAAGCCUGAUGCAGCCAUGCCGCGUGUAUGAAGAAGGCCUUCGGGUUGUAAAGUACUUUCAGCGGGGAGGAAGGGAGUAAAGUUAAUACCUUUGCUCAUUGACGUUACCCGCAGAAGAAGCACCGGCUAACUCCGUGCCAGCAGCCGCGGUAAUACGGAGGGUGCAAGCGUUAAUCGGAAUUACUGGGCGUAAAGCGCACGCAGGCGGUUUGUUAAGUCAGAUGUGAAAUCCCCGGGCUCAACCUGGGAACUGCAUCUGAUACUGGCAAGCUUGAGUCUCGUAGAGGGAGGUAGAAUUCCAGGUGUAGCGGUGAAAUGCGUAGAGAUCUGGAGGAAUACCGGUGGCGAAGGCGGCCCCCUGAACGAAGACUGACGCUAAGGUGCGAAAGCGUGGGGAGCAAACAGG
This 429-nucleotide ribosomal RNA is filed under the name Chloroflexota bacterium. Its description in RNAcentral is "Chloroflexi bacterium partial 16S ribosomal RNA". It matches the Rfam family "Bacterial small subunit ribosomal RNA", at positions 355 to 776 of the family's 1533-position model. The record is from RNAcentral. Lineage: Bacteria; Bacillati; Chloroflexota.